AAACUUAACCCUGCAGAUGAAAUGCCAUAAUUGCAAAGAUGGUUUUCUUAGGGUUAGGCCUUUUCAUUUUACUUCUGGUGUGCUUACCUCUGCAGUUUUCCCAAGUAUUGGAACUUGACUACAUAUUUUAUGGUAGUGAUGAAUUACAUUUGUAUUCUAUUC
This is a small nuclear RNA of Aotus nancymaae (Ma's night monkey), 162 nucleotides long. Its record names the gene U1. It matches the Rfam family "U1 spliceosomal RNA". From Rfam's summary of the family: U1 is a small nuclear RNA (snRNA) component of the spliceosome (involved in pre-mRNA splicing). Its 5' end forms complementary base pairs with the 5' splice junction, thus defining the 5' donor site of an intron. Lineage: Eukaryota; Metazoa; Chordata; Mammalia; Primates; Aotidae. The record is from Ensembl.